AUUCUGAUGUUUCCGUUGCUUUGGCGUCCAUUGGAAUUGAAAGAGGCAAUUCCGUGUCCAGCAUAAAAAAGUUCCUUGGCAGCCGCAACCUGGUAAAGAGGGGGCUUUUGUCCGAUGAUAAUUUGGAGGUGGCAGUGGCCAGUGCUGUUCGAGAGACUGGACCAACAUUUGGGCGAAAAAUGAUGACCGGUUACCUGGCCUCAAAGGGACUGCGCGCUGCAGAACGCCGUGUGGGAUCAGCACUGAGGCUUGUCCAUCAACCUUACCACCAAGCUCGCUUACAGGGAGCACGGAACUUCAACCCAGUUCCAUACAAUGCAGAGUAUUUUGGUCACAAAUUACAUAUGGACCAAAACGAGAAACUCGUUAGGAGUUUGGAGUUACGCAUGUGGUAGGAGUUGAUGGA
This is a long non-coding RNA of Carassius gibelio (silver crucian carp), 406 nucleotides long. RefSeq lists it as uncharacterized. The record is from RefSeq and is a predicted model, not a curated record. The transcript has 3 exons. Lineage: Eukaryota; Metazoa; Chordata; Actinopteri; Cypriniformes; Cyprinidae.